UACGUAGGGUGCAAGCGUUAAUCGGAAUUACUGGGAGUAAAGCGUGCGCAGGCGGUUUUGUAAGUCUGAUGUGAAAUCCCCGGGCUCAACCUGGGAAUUGCAUUGGAGACUGCAAGGCUAGAAUCUGGCAGAGGGGGGUAGAAUUCCGCGUGUAGCAGUGAAAUGCGUAGAGAUGUGGAGGAACACCGAUGGCGAAGGCAGCCACCUGGGUCAAGAUUGACGCUCAUGCACGAAAGCGUGGGGAGCAAACAGG
Molecule: ribosomal RNA, 253 nt
Filed under: uncultured bacterium
Lineage: Bacteria
Description: partial 16S ribosomal RNA
Rfam family: Bacterial small subunit ribosomal RNA
Source: RNAcentral